Long non-coding RNA from Numida meleagris (helmeted guineafowl), 1682 nucleotides. RefSeq lists it as uncharacterized. The record is from RefSeq and is a predicted model, not a curated record. The transcript is spliced from 5 exons. NCBI's taxonomy places the organism in Eukaryota, Metazoa, Chordata, Aves, Galliformes, Numididae.
UUAUAUGGCCUGCAAGUAUUACUGUGAGAGGACAGCAUUCACUGGCAUGGAGGAGAGGUUACGCAGAUCACUAGUUCAGUGUUUGAAAGGAUUAGAAGAGAAAUUGACUACAAUGGCAGAAGGUGCUGCAUAUCUGUGGGAAUGAAGGAGAGGUGAAAACCCACAUUGUGUUUGUGAAGUCUGGGCUUUUAAAUUGGUGAAGAUUUCUUUGGCAAAAAGAUAAACAUGGCCUUUAAUUUUCUUCAUCUAGAACAGGCCUUUCUAACCCGCUCUGGUUCAGGACACCAGACUUCAAAUAAUCACUGUUUAUCAGGCUUUGCCUUCUAAUGUCUUUGGGUAGCACGCCAAGAAUUUCUCUGCAUGUAGCAUAGCUUUCCUGUGGUCUCCUUAAUGGAUCGGAGAUUUAGCAGGAGUGUUCUGACCUGGGAAAUAUGCCUCCUCAUUCAGUGCUUACUGUAGCACAAUGCUGAAGAUUUGUCUGAAUAUGUAAGAUGCUUUUCUGUUGGAUGUAGUGAGAAACUUCUUGUUUCUGGACCAUUACCCACGGAGCAAAAUUAAUUCUAAUCCAGAACUGUGAACAGAAGGGAUGGGGCUCAGCUGAUCCAAAGUUGGUGUCAACUUUAGAACAUUUUGAGUAUUCGUAGAAGCCCUUAGAGGACAAGAACCUUUUCCUCAACCUUGUUUUCUUGCUUCUUGUACAGAAUGUCUUCCAUUUGGCGUAUCCACCAGAGCUCUCUUCCAUUGACCUCCAGUUAGUUUCACCUCUCCAGUAUCUCCUCUCCUAUUGGAAAGACUGCAGCUGAGGCAGCAGAGCUGAUGUGGCAAAGCAUGAACAGGCUGAGUUUUUUUAAAAAAGUUUUUUGUCCUCCAUCUGCCAGAGAUUGCACGUGCUCCCUUGAAAUGUCUUCAUUACAAUAACAACAUACCUUUCAUGAUCCAAGGGAAGAGUUGCUUUCCUGUAACCAUUGCUAAAACAACUGCAAACUGCUACAGUCCUAACAGGGCUGGCUAGUGUGCAAAGCAGCUCACUGUCUUUCUGAAAAAUUGUAAUUGUUAGUAAUUUAGUAAUUAAUCCACCUGAAUUUCUUAAGCUUCUGUAGUGGCUGUCCACCGUACAUUUUCUAAGUGCAUCAACAUUGUUCUUCAAUCUUAUAUUAAGGAUUUUCUUCUAUGUAGUGGUUAUCCCAAUGACUACUAAAUAUGAAAGUGCAGAAUGUUAUUCCUUCAAAAUCUGAUAUCAUUCUUAUAAUAUCCUUAUGGUGAAUAUUGCAAAUAACAUUAUCCAUUUAUAUGCUGAAAAGAUAAUCUGGAAUUCCAAUUUUAUUGACUAUUUGUAAUUAAAUAGAAGUACAAUGUGGUGAAUAAAAUUUAGGUGAAAAAAUGUAAGUGACUAAAAGAAUAUUUUCAAUUUUCUCUCUCCAUGGAAAAGGGAAAAUUCUUUAUUCUUAACGCCAGUUGUCAUUCAGUAAAUGUAUAAUAAGAAUGUAACAAGCUGACCAUUUUGUACCUCAGUGUUGAACCCAUAGCAGAUUGAGUAUUGCUGGCAUACUUGUUUCUUCUCCUUUGAAAAGACAGAAGUGUAACUCUCAUUUUAAGCCUCUAACAUAGACAGCUGGGGUAAUGUUCAUGAUAUCAGAGAAUUAUGUUACUGUUAACUCAAUAAAACAUCAAUAGAAAAGUGA